CACAGGUUUGCCGCCUUAAGCUUCUGGAUAAUGGAGAGCGCUCCACAAACAUAGCUUUUAUUGAGUUUGCUGAGGUUGAUGGUGCUAUUGCUGCUCUUAUGUCCGGCGGCAUUUACGUGGAUGGCAUUCCUAUCAGGAUGUGCCCAUCCAAGAGCCCAAUAAGGAACUAUUGCUUUGGGAGCCCAACUGCGCUGGAAGGGACGACCAUUGGUGGAUACUGUAGCUAUUAAGCUGGAGUGCGGAAACUGUUACCAGAGGGUGGCAUAUAGUAGCUCCACCAUGGUGUGUUAUCUACUGAUUAUCAGUUGCGUGUGGUUGACUCAUGAGUCAUGUGCACUCUUUAGACUUUUGGUUUAACUUAAUACCCAGAAAGAGGAACAA
Long non-coding RNA from Sorghum bicolor (sorghum), 381 nucleotides. RefSeq lists it as uncharacterized. The transcript is spliced from 3 exons. The record is from RefSeq and is a predicted model, not a curated record. NCBI's taxonomy places the organism in Eukaryota, Viridiplantae, Streptophyta, Magnoliopsida, Poales, Poaceae.